UACGUAGGGUGCGAGCGUUAAUCGGAAUUACUGGGCGUAAAGCGUGCGCAGGCGGUUCGCCAAGUCAGGUGUGAAAUCCCCGGGCUUAACCUGGGAAUUGCGCUUGAAACUAGCGGGCUUGAGUGCGGCAGAGGGGGGUGGAAUUCCACGUGUAGCAGUGAAAUGCGUAGAGAUGUGGAGGAACACCGAUGGCGAAGGCAGCCCCCUGGGUUGACACUGACGCUCAUGCACGAAAGCGUGGGGAGCAAACAGG
This 253-nucleotide ribosomal RNA is filed under the name uncultured bacterium. RNAcentral's name for it is "partial 16S ribosomal RNA". It matches the Rfam family "Bacterial small subunit ribosomal RNA", at positions 524 to 776 of the family's 1533-position model. The record is from RNAcentral.